RNAcentral lists this ribosomal RNA (811 nucleotides) under uncultured bacterium. RNAcentral's name for it is "bacterial SSU rRNA". It matches the Rfam family "Bacterial small subunit ribosomal RNA", at positions 64 to 869 of the family's 1533-position model. The record is from RNAcentral.
GCAGCGGGGUGAGUGCUUGCACUCACUGCCGGCGACUGGCGCACGGGUGAGUAACACGUAUGCAACCUGCCCUCCACAGGGGGACAACCUUCCGAAAGGGAGGCUAAUCCCGCGUAUCUCGUUCCGGGGCAUCCCGGGGUGAUGAAAGGUUUCGGCCGGUGGAGGAUGGGCAUGCGGCGCAUUAGGCAGACGGCGGGGUAACGGCCACCGUACCGACGAUGCGUAGGGGUUCUGAGAGGAAGGUCCCCCACACUGGUACUGAGACACGGACCAGACUCCUACGGGAGGCAGCAGUGAGGAAUAUUGGUCAAUGGGCGGGAGCCUGAACCAGCCAAGCCGCGUGAGGGAGGAAGGCCCUACGGGUCGUAAACCUCUUUUGCCGGGGAACAAAAGCGGGUAUGCAUACCCGUAUGAGUGUACCCGGAGAAAAAGCAUCGGCUAACUCCGUGCCAGCAGCCGCGGUAAUACGGAGGAUGCGAGCGUUAUCCGGAUUUAUUGGGUUUAAAGGGUGCGUAGGCGGCAUUUCAAGUCAGCGGUAAAAUUGCGGGGCUCAACCCCGUAUAGCCGUUGAGACUGAGGAGCUAGAGACGGCGAGAGGUACGCGGAAUGCGCAGUGUAGCGGUGAAAUGCAUAGAUAUUGCGCAGAACUCCGAUUGCGAAGGCAGCGUACUGGCGCCGGACUGACGCUGAGGCACGAAAGCGUGGGGAUCGAACAGGAUUAGAUACCCUGGUAGUCCACGCAGUAAACGAUGAAUGCCGGCUGUUCGGCCUGAUUGAAAGCUGAGCGGCGAAGCGAAAGCGAUAAGCAUUC